RNAcentral lists this ribosomal RNA (523 nucleotides) under uncultured bacterium. Its description in RNAcentral is "bacterial SSU rRNA". It matches the Rfam family "Bacterial small subunit ribosomal RNA", at positions 8 to 526 of the family's 1533-position model. The record is from RNAcentral.
AGAGUUUGAUCCUGGCUCAGGACGAACGCUGGCGGCGUGUUUAAGACAUGCAAGUCGCACGGGGGAAGGUGGUAGCGAUACUUCCCUUCCCCAGUGGCGCACGGGUGAGUAACACGUGAGUGACAUGCCCCGCAGUGGGGGAUAGCCCGCCGAAAGGCGGAUUAAUACCCCAUGGCACCGCAGGGUUAAAGGUGGCGCAAGCUGCCGCUGCGGGAUUGGCUCGCGUCCUAUCAGCUUGUUGGCGGGGUAACGGCCCACCAAGGCGGCGACGGGUACCUGGUCUGAGAGGACGAUCAGGCACACUGGAACUGAGACACGGUCCAGACACCUACGGGUGGCAGCGGUCGAGAAUAAUUCACAAUGGGCGAAAGCCUGAUGGUGCAACGCCGCGUGGAGGAUGAAGGUCUUCGGAUUGUAAACUCCUGUCAUCGGGGAGUAAGACCUGGGCGUGAACAGCGCACAGGGUUGAUAGUACCCGAAGAGGAAGGGACGGCUAACUUCGUGCCAGCAGCCGCGGUAAUUC